CCAAAAGAACAAUAUUCUUUUCUUUUUCUUUUUCCAUCUCAGAAAAAGAAUAUCACAAAGAACUAUCUUCAAGGUUUAGAAGUUCUUGUCUUCUUGAAUCGAGUAUUGCCAUAUAUAAAGAUCCACAGUGAGAACAGAGAAGACCAGCUCGUACCCUCAGAAAUUCGUCUUCAUCAUCGAACAACAAUUAGUAGUUGAAAUUUUCAUCGGUAUUAGAUGCAAACAAAGAGAUAGUGGAGGUCAGCUCGUUUCCCUCAAAGAAAUUAUCAUCGGAUUGAGAGCAACAAGCUGAGAAACAAUCAUGUAAGAGCAAAGAAGGAGAGAGACCUGAAGAUGAAGCUUAGCAGAGGAAUUGAAGAGUCAAGCUUCAGUGAGAAAUUUCAAGAAGAUAGAUGUUGUCUGAGAUUAAUUUUGUUGUUUUUCCUUUCUCUUGUUUUGGUCUGGGCUAGUUUUGACCCGAUUAUUGUAUCUUGUGUUGGACCUUUCUAAUUUUCCAU
Molecule: long non-coding RNA, 497 nt
Organism: Solanum dulcamara
Lineage: Eukaryota; Viridiplantae; Streptophyta; Magnoliopsida; Solanales; Solanaceae
Exons: 2
Source: RefSeq, a predicted model, not a curated record